GCCGUAUGUGGAAAAUAUCCCUUAGAGGGUUAACUGAUUAAACUGUAAAUAUUUUGACUAAAGUGUAGAGUUUGUGAAGUUAGGGCUUGUAGAGUUAGAAGCUUGGCUCUACAAGAGAUCUGAUAACUUUUUGACAGUGCGAUCCUUAUGGUUUCGUCUUGGCAACAUUUUACAUGGAAAUGAUUCUGAUGGGAUACAUAUUAUAAUGUGCACUUUAUCUACUCAUCCAAAAAAUAAACAACCCCAUCGAGUUGGGCUCACUAAAAAUGUUUCGAGAACGAAGUCAUAAACACGCAUAGGACAAGAGGUACAGUCAGAAACAGUAAGUGUAUACAAUAUGGGAACUUUUAAUAUUAGAGUGACGAAGAUGAAGAUACACGAAUUCUGAUUUGCGUGGUAGGCCUCAAGCUUCCAAAAUAGAAUAAUAAGUAACAGUAUUGUAUUUCAUACAUAAGGGACACGCUCCACCCCGCCCCGAAUAAAAUUACCUCACCCUGCGGCAACGUGAUGACGGAAAAUUUGAAAUGCCGGUAUACUGUGCCAAGUUUAGGCUCUUGUCAGUUUCUUGUAAAUGUGCGCCCAAAUAUUUUUAAUUGCCUCACGGAACUUACACACACAUUGAUGCAUUGGCAUGUCGUGCACACAUCGCACAUAACAUAGAUACUUAAAGUCAGUGUAAGUUAAGAAGUAAAUUUUGACAGUCAUGAAUUGACCCUUAUUUUUACGAAGCUAAGACCUAUCAUUUAAACCUUAGUGUCACAUAUAUCUAAGGGUCAAUUCAAGUUUCAAGUACUAUGGCGUGUCCACCGUGUGCCCCCAGACACCACUCAGUCUGUGCUCGCAUAAAACUUUGCUAACCCCACAGCACACGCUCGUGAAUUCUGGUCAGUGUUCCGUUCCCCGUGCGUCAAGGUUGCAAGUUUCCGGAAACACGGAUCUGGUCUUUGUUUAUAUUGGCCAAUCACUUCCACCUCCAUUCAUUGCACAUGUUGAAUAAGUUGUAAACUAUCAUAAUAUAAAUAAUGUGUCAUAAAUUCUAUCUUAUUCGGUAUUUAUCUAAGGGCCACUCGUUGCCUGUAUUAAAGAUUUUCAUUCAUAAAUGGCAAUUUAAACCAGUUAGCAUAGUAGCAGUUAGAAAAGUGGUUAUUAGUUACAGAUAUAAUGCGUCUAUCACUAAUGAAGUCUAAUGGAACUUAUGGAACUUACGUCUUGAUUACCUCUAAUUUGUUAUUAUGUUAUGUUACAUACAUAGGGUCGCGAGUGUUUAAUUUCGACUUAAUUACGUUAUUGUCAAGGUAGAGAAUUAUAUGGAUAAUUUGUCACUAGUCGAGUUCAUUAAUAUUUAUUUAUACAUUUUUCCACCUUAUUGCAAUGGAGAAAGAUGAAGAAAUGUACACAUACGGCCCUAUUCGCACUUCGACGAAAGAAAUACGGAAAAGAUAAGAUAACGAUAAUUUCUGGUUUAAGUAGAUAAGUUCUCUAUUAGAUAUCGUUUUUUAUGUCGUAUAAUUGACAGAUGCAGCACGAUUCGGGCAACCAAUGUCACUUUAACGUUAGAAAUAUCUUAUUGAGAUCACAACAGAAUCGAAAUAAACGUCAAUUUUGACAUAUCGUUUAGUUAUCGAUCUUUUCAAUCUCUUUCCAAGAUCUUAAGCAUCGCUUAAUCAUUCUUCGAAUCGGGCCCAUAUUCAUGAACUCGACACCGUGUUACAUAUAUUAAUGACCUCGACUUUUCCUUGAAAGAUAUUAUUUUAUUUUAUUAUUUUUUAAUUGAUAAGUGAAUGAGUGUUGAGUACCUAACAGAUUGUCAAAAUGUUUGUUAUAUUAAGCGAAAUUUAAAAAGCGAAAAUUGGGUUUACUUUAACUGAUCUGCUGAAAUAAACAACCGUAACGUGGCCAAAGAAACUAUGUAACAAAAAAAUACAACUUUAUCAUGUACUUAGGCAGGUCAUAAGUUCUGUUAUUAAGGUUUGCUGAGGUGUUUCGCAUAGUCAUCGAUACAAAGGAAAAUACAGCCGGCAGUAAAAGUGUAGAAAAAAAAAACCACUUAUACAGGCACUUAUUUCAAAUCGAAAUUUAUUCGUGUUGGAUAUCUUCACUCUUUGUUUCUUGCUUUGUGGCAGUAGCAAUAGAGAUAGAUGAAUCGGAGGGAGUCACUUUCUCCUUGUAAAGGAACUAGGGCGCGAGUAUAUUGUAGUAAGGCUGCCGCGUGUCUCCGUACAUAGGUUAGGUGGUAUCUUGCGGGUAUUGCGGGUUGUGAGAUACGACCCGCAUCCGGGUGCAAUGAAUGCGACGGUUUCAAGGGCGCGCCUCAGGUGAUGACGUACGGCACCCCACCGCCACCCACCGCGGCUCCCGCGGGUGUUCCGGCACCCACCUAAUAAUGCACGUCUGCGCCCUGUCUGCCGCGUCCGCACCCGCUGCAACCUUGAGUGCUCUUGGGGACGCCCGCAAAGAAACACGAAGAAAAAAAGACAAAAGUCCGCAACCAUCUACGCAAAUCUUGGUCACCCUAGUCUCAUACUUCGCGCAACCGCGACGCCUUCUGUACUGUCAUUAAAUCCUUUAGGCUUGAAUCGUCACACGUGUAUUUCAAAAACAUUAACAAACGCUCAUAAUAAGAAAGAGUAUCUAAACAAGAACGUCGAUAUUGAUUGUAGCAGCUGACGAUGACGGCGGACAACAACAGUGCCGCUCGUCAGCGUCACUGCAAUUAGACAUUGCGUAGUGAAUAUCACGUUGAUAGCUCUCUAAUUAUCAUAAUAAUAGUGGAGGCGUACGAUGGGGGUGGCGUCCCCGUCAGCUGAGCGAAAACGAAAGUAAACAGAACUCGGUCAAAGGGUUUGUACUCUACCCGCAAUAUUUAUGUGGGUACGGGGGGGGGUGUACCCACACCCGAUCCGGUCGCCUUCCUUUGAUGGAUUGGUUGGCGACUGGCGCGGAUUAUUCCACUGAAAUUCGCUUCAACCCCACAGCCAGGCAAUAGCCGCGAUUUCCUGUUUUGCUCUUCCAGACAAACUUUACCCCCGAAAUUAUAAUUCUGCGAAAGUGGUCGUUCAUAUUUUGUUUUGCUUGCGACCCGUCUUUAACAGAUUUUUUUAUGAAUUUGUUGACAGGAAUCGUUGUUUAACAAUGUAUUUCUUAGAGAAAAAGAUGUACCUAUCCAUUAUGACAUA
Molecule: long non-coding RNA, 3176 nt
Organism: Cydia pomonella (codling moth)
Lineage: Eukaryota; Metazoa; Arthropoda; Insecta; Lepidoptera; Tortricidae
Exons: 2
Source: RefSeq, a predicted model, not a curated record